RNAcentral lists this unclassified non-coding RNA (297 nucleotides) under Hevea brasiliensis (rubber tree). Lineage: Eukaryota; Viridiplantae; Streptophyta; Magnoliopsida; Malpighiales; Euphorbiaceae. The record is from RNAcentral.
GUUAAUGCAAUGCCCAAAUAGCUAGGCGUACACCCAUAACCUCAAAAAUCGAAUGAAGCUAGCUAGCUAAUUAUGACCAUUUUUGAAGGUUGAAUCAGUGAAUAAGGUAUGUGAGCACCAAUGCCACUAGCAUUAGAACAUAUGCUAUUCCUUGGUCUAUCGUGGUGCCGUCGCUUGUGGGGGAAGGAGCAGAAGCAGGGGAUUGAGCAUGAGCCAAAGGCAAGAUAAUGGCAUAAAGAACAGCAAUGGUGACCAAAACUCCAAAGGAAAACCUACAAAAGGCCAUUUCUUCUGUGU